Molecule: long non-coding RNA, 637 nt
Organism: Hylaeus volcanicus
Lineage: Eukaryota; Metazoa; Arthropoda; Insecta; Hymenoptera; Colletidae
Exons: 4
Source: RefSeq, a predicted model, not a curated record
CGUCAAUCUUUUCGUUUCUCGUUGGAUUCAGCCUUGUAUGAUCAUUUGCAAUACCUUGCGUACCUAAAAUGUAGACUUGUCAACGUCAAUAUGUGCCUAAUAAACCAACUUGUUAAGUUUUUGGUGUAAAUAUCAAACGAUAAUUUUGGAGCCGUUUUAAUGUAGGUGUGAAGCUGCCGUGCUAAGGUUCGCAAAGUUUCUAUAAAUGAAUUUCAAAUAAAUAGUUACUUCCAACAUUGGUACUCUUACCAUGCCAAAAGAAGGAACUACAAUCAACUAUAGCAUUAUGGGAACCAUUUGAAAUGCUCUUUUGAUGAUAGAAAAGGUCAUAAAAUAACCUCUAAAAGUGAAAAGCGUUGUUUUGCUUGAAAUUCAGAUAACCCUAAGAAAACCGUCCAUGCGUCUUGAGAGAAACCAGCGUCUUUUGUAGAUAACUCUGAUAAAGCAACCAAUAAAAUGAUGAUUACAAGUAAUCUAUGGUAACGUUGAUUUCCUGUGCAUACUCUCGUCACGACAAAUGAACUGAUGGCUAAAGAGUAGCAUCAUAUUAAGGGCUAAGGCAUAAUUGUCGAUUUUUUGACAUUUAUCAUUCCGAUGUUGUAAAACUUCAGGUGGCUUGAAUCAUGUAAAACCAAAA